RNAcentral lists this long non-coding RNA (6650 nucleotides) under Marmota monax (woodchuck). The record is from RNAcentral. Lineage: Eukaryota; Metazoa; Chordata; Mammalia; Rodentia; Sciuridae.
AGGCCCAAGACCAUCCUUCAGGACCAGCAUCACAGGUGGCCCACCUUGUAGGUGGGUCCUGAAAGAAGUGGAUUUGCGGAUCCUAACAGCCUCCCCCAGCUCAGUGCUCUGUGAUUUCCCCUUCUGCCGAGUGCAACAGCACGUGGUGAUAAGGAGCCCCCCGUAGAUGAGGCUGCAACCUGGCUGAGGGCCUAAUGUGCAUUUAGAGACAUCCUCAGAGACCGUCAUCCAUCUGGGGACAUUGGGAGCUGAGGCUUAUUUACAUUAGCAUCUGGGAGGCAGCUGCCAGCCUCGACCCUCUGCAGCGCCGAGCACUUCAGGGACUUCUGAUUACUGGACUGUGGCUGGCAGCGGCCCAGGAAGGGGGGUCAGAAAAACCUCUCCCCCCCAGCCAACCAGAGUGUGAGCCCUGGAGCCUGGCCACCCACCGCACACCCCAUGGGUCCCUGAGUAGACAGCCACCCAGCCCCGGCUUGUCUUGUCACGUUGGGCGGAAGUCGGAAGUCUGAUGGGAAAUAACGACUACUGCUCACCUAAACAGUGGGGGCCCUGCUCAUCUGGUCUCCUGGAGUCACCCCCAGGUGUAAAAUGAAUAUGGUGACCUACGACAUUGUGGAGAAGAAUGUUGAAGGCCCAAAGACAAGUGUGUGAAAUAGACCCUGGCUUUGAGACCUGCUGGCUUUGGGGAAAGGGGAUGAGGGGAGAGAGUCAAAGGCUGCCCUCCUGGUUUGGGAAGAACCGGUUUCAGGUGGAGAUUGACAGGAAUUUGACCUGAGUACUGAGCUGGAAUCUGCAAUUCUGGAGCCCAGCCAAGCGGUAGGAGGGCCCUCGGAAGGCAUGAAGCUGAUGUCCCAAGGCCCUUCCAACCCCCGGGGUUCACCCAACCAUCGGCUCACAGCAUUCCCUGCAGACCUUUCUCUCCCAAGUGCAAGUGUCUUUCUGAAGGAAAGUUUAUUUUCUCUGCCUUCUCCUGAUGGGUAUGAAUAAAGAAGCACAUUGUACCAGCUGUCCCUGGCUGUCAUCUGGAAGCCAUGAGAUGCACCAGCCUCAGGGUGACAUCAGUGCUAAGAAUGGUGGAGUAGAGAGACUGGAAAAAACUCAGGUCCCUGAUGUCAGCAUGGAACCCCAGAGCGCCCUGUACCUGAAGCCCACCUGCUCUCACACCUGUCGUGUGAGACUCACGUCUUCUUGGGGCUUCAGCCUUUGGGAAUCCAUUGUCUUCUCUUUGCCGCACAAAGCCCUGACAGGUCCAUCAGGUUACAGGAACUCACUGCCUAGCAGAGGCUCACAGCAGGAGAAGCAGGCCGGGACCCAGGAACCUGGGGUGUGCUUCAAAUUUUCACAGAAUAUAGUUUAAGCGGCCUUCCUACAAAGAAGCACUUGAUCUGCAUGUGAAGGGUUAUGAAUAUUCUUCAAUUGCACCAAGAAACUCGUUCUCUACUUUGUUUUAUGAAACCUAACUCCUGCUUGAUCUGCCCUUCAAGUUCCACUUUGGGGAAAAACAUAGAUACCAGAAACAUCUCGCCCUUCUCCUUAAGAAAAACUCCAACCAAAGUACAAGGGCCAAUGCUGACCACCACUCAGUCUCCUGGUGGGGUGGAGAGGACGGGGUGGGGCUUGGGGCAAAAGGGAGAGUUUGUGCCCCAUCCAAGAGUGACUUGCGGGAUGGCGAGGCCCAGGGUCUCCCGACCUGGUUCUCCUGAAGAAGUUGUAGGAUGGAAUUUGUACGUGACUCCUCCAGAUUUUUCAAGUUAUUUUAAAUAAAUAAAUAAAAGCAGAUCAAUCUUUGGGACCCACAAAACAUCCCGGUGGUUCCUUACGUUUGGCCGAGGCCGGCCCAGCAGACCUCCAGCUGCUGCUGACCCUGGCCCUGCAUCUCCAAAGACUCAGCCGGCGAGGGGCCAAGUGUUUCCUCACGCUGUUAUUUUUAACGCUGACAAUGUGGGAACGACCUUGAUUUCUAAUAACGGGGAUUAAGUAAACCAGGACAAACCCACUUAGUGGGAGAUCGGCAACUGUUUACAAAAGGUAUGUACACAGAGGAGCCUGAGAGGAUCCGGCUGGUGACACCAUACCCAGGGUGGGGGCAGAUCUGUGCAGUGUACACACAACAUGAUUGACGACCCUGGCAGAGGACACGGAAUACAGCAGUUAAAAAUCAACUCUAAACAAAAAUGAACCCGAUAUUGCCAAGAAUGGAAAGAACAGCACUCUUUCCCUAAUGCUUUUCUGAGCUUUGCAAAUUGUCUAUGAUUUCAUAAUCGAGGAAAGCACCAACUUUGUUUUGGGGUUUCUGAAUCAUUAAAUGACUGCCGUACCCCGCCUUCUUCCACAUCAACCUCAGCAGGCCAAGCUCAUGGCAGUCACGUCUGCGAACUUUUCCAGAGCCAUACUGAACCAGACCUGGAGGAUGGAGCUGGACUAGGGCCAGCCCUGCCCUGGAGCCCCACACGACCUUAAAAGAAUACAGUGAGAAGCAGGACAGCACCCACAAUCAGAGCCCAGAGGACAUGUGCUGGCCCAGUCUUCAGAUGAGGGAUAAGGGGCAGUGUCCAGGUGAGCUGUGGGCCUUGUAAGGGUGCCCCAGUUGAAUGAAUGUGGGAACAGGACUCUUGGUGAGGAUCCUUGCAGUGCAAAGACACAGAAGCAAAGAAGAGCAUAGCCUUUGCCGAAGACCAGUUGAUGGAGUCAUUUUCUGUUGCUAUAAUGAAUUACCUGAAACUGGGUACUUUAAAAAGAAACAAAGGUUUAUUUAGCUUACAGUGUUAGAAGUCCAAGGUCAUGUGGCCCUGUCUUUUUGGCUCUGAUGAGGACCCUCCUUACCUGCCUCACAUUGUAGCAGAUGGCAUCACUGUGGGAACACCUAGGAAAGAGAGCUCCGAUGGCAAGACAGGAAGACAGAGGGCUUCAGGGCCAACCUCACUCUUGUAUAACAUUGCACUUUCAGGGACAAACUCUCCACAGAGACCAGCACUGAUCCUUCAAAGGGCGAUGCCCCCAUGACCUUGUUACUCCUCACAAGGCCCCACUGCUUAAGGCUUCCACCACCUCCCAACACACUAGGGACCAGCUCCCAGCACAGGAGCUUUUGGGGAACACCAGAGCAUCCAGGGGACGACAAGGGCCAUGCACAUGUGCUGGCCACACACCCCUCAGACUGCCUCAGUGGCUGGGGUAGUCAGGUAGCACCAGCCUCACUUGGUUAGGUGGGGGUCAGCGUCCAUUCUGGGCCAAGCCUCCUUCAGGACAUCCAGGGUCAAGUGCAGAAGUUCUGAAGUUGGUCAGUUCACAACCGCACCCCUGGCCUGGACUGACUCAUUUCUUUGCUUGCAAGGACCCGAGGGCAGACUCCCAGGGUGACUGGAACCUCUGUGGACCUGAGCUCCUCCCACAGCUAUAAGCCACGGCCAUCCCGAGGAAGCCGGAGAAGGAGGGCACCCAAGGCACUGGCCUCAAGAACCACAUCGACCUCAAGGUCCCCUCAAGGGCCCCAGGAGGACUGCUUAAAGCCCUGACCACAAGCCAACUCUGUGUCCUGCGCUGCCCGCAGGGGCCAGGAACCCAUGAGCAAAAAUGGAACAAAUGCCCUUGGUAACGACGGGAAGCGUGUGCACGGAGAUCCGCGGGCAGCCACUUCCCCUCGGGCUGCCCAGAGCACGACGCGAUGCUGGCAGAGCUGCUAUCCAGGAAAAGAGGGGCCAGUGGCCUGCACAGCCCAGGGGACAGAGUUGCCCAGUUGUGGAGGACCUUAGAUAAGGAGAACUGCGAUCGCUGCCAGGGCCUCUGCCGGGGGCCAAGACUCUGCUCUAGGAACACCCUGUGACCCGCGGAGCCGGGUGCGCUGGGACAGUGCAGGUGGCCAGGAGGCUGCCCCCACGGUGGGGAGGGUGGACGAGGAGCCACGUAGGGGCCAAGGCAGGGCGGUGGGAGCUGGGACUCAGAGCCCAGCAGAGGCGUCCAGGUCAGAUGCUGCCGGUGGCCAAGCAUUGGGGGUGGAGGUGCUGCUGCAAUGCACCCCCUGGCCCUCGGGGGGCGCCAGUGCACACCCCGUCACACCUGCUGUGAGUGUCCCUUGUGAGGGUCCCUUGUGGAAACAGGGAAAGCCCAGCCCCAUGCUGGGUGUCAGGCAGGACGUGGUGAACGUGGGUGAGACAAGCGGGUGGGACUCCUGGGCCAGAGGAGUUUAGGUUCCAUGGAACCUAAACUCCCCGGAGACCUGGCUUUCCCCAACCCAGGGGCAGGGUGGCCUGCUGACCUUACCCAGGUCACAAGAGCCAGGGAAACCUCUGAGGCCUUCAGGCCCCUGCAGCAGAGGCUGUCGCUGUCUCCACAAGCCCGGCCAGUGCUCCCAGUGCCAUCGGGAGUCCCCCUGUGAGGCCCCGCUUGCAUUGGACCUGUGUGACCCUACCGUCACCCUCACUGCCACCGUCCUUUGUGCACAUUCCUGCCUCCCAUCUAUGCUCUGGACUCUUCUGAGUGUACUCCUGUCCGACCCCCAGAACCUAGCUCACUAUAAAGUGACAACAGACAGAAAAGACCUCGAUGGACAUUUCUACAGACUGACACUGUGCCAGGCUCCGAGGACACAGGUGGCUGAGGCCUGUAGCCUAUGCCCAGGGUGCUCACCGUCGUGAUGAAGUGGGCAUCCUGGGAGGUAGUGAGGCCCCCUAUCUGGAGCAUGGACAGAGGCUGAGCCAGAGCCUGGCAGGGACCCAUAAAGGGCGCUGCAGCUCCAAGGGAUGGUGGCCAGAUGGCUUCAGUGUCCCUUCCAGCCCUUGGCUCCCCUGACUCCAGAACCACACUCCGGAAACAUACUGGCUCCCAAGUACCCAUCCGCGGUCUUCCGGUUGGCAGCGAUCAGGCCUUGAACAGAGCGGGGUAAACAAGAGCUGAGUCACUCUGGGGACCGCCCGAGCGGGAGCCCCUCCCUCCUCUGGAACCCUCAUAAACAGACCGUGGAUCAGCUCUGUUUGUCAGCUCUUCCGAGUUUAUGAUGCUGCACGAAAUCUGUUGCCCAAACGAGCCCACGGACCUCUGACCACCCAUGUUUAGCCAUCUCUGUGCCUGAGUGUCAUCAUUGCACAGUCCACGUAUCUGCAGGACAAGCCGGAGCCCACCUCUGAGGAACCCUCCCAGCCUCCCCACUGUGCCGUCUCUAUCUUUGUGCACCAUUAAUCUCCAGUGAGAAUGGAGUCCUCUCUCCUGACUCCAAAACCAAAUCCCUGAGAGGGUUAUUGAGAACCCAAAGUGCAUAUUGGAUGCUUUACAUAAUGGACUUGUUUCUGGUCUUCUCAAGGUACUAGGUUUUAAAACGCUAUUUCACAGACUGGGAGGCAGAGGUUGAGAAGGGUACAGGGUCUUCCAGAGCCUUGGUCAAUUGGGUCGUCCUGGCUCUGGGUCCUGGCUCCUUCCCUGCCCUGUGGAUUUUUUCAAACCUGUUCCCUUUGCAGUGCUCCCAAUCUGCUAAUAUGCCAACCUCCACCUGUUUGGGCACCAAAAGAGACAUGAAGACCCAUGGUACAGAUUAGAGGACACAGUGACACUCCCACAUAAAUACAGUUAUCUGAUAUUAGACAAAGGUGCCAUAAACAUACGUUGGAGAAAAGUAGCUAAAUUGUGGAACCGACAAAUGGUGCUGGGAAAACUGGGAAUCCAUGUGCAACAAAAUGAAAUUAGACCCUAUGCCUCAUCCUGUAUAAAACUCAACUCCAAGUGGAUCCAGAACCUAGGAAUUAAACCAGAGACCCUGCUCCUACUAGGAGAGAAUGUAGGCCCAAAUCUCCAUCAUGUCGGCUUAGGAAUCAAAUUUCUCAACAAGACUCCUAAAGUGCAAGAAGUAAAAUCAAGAAUCAAUAAGUGGGAUGGAACCAAACUAAAAAGCUUCUUCACAGCAAAGAAAAUAAUCAAGAAUGUGAAGCGGAAGCUUACAGAAUGGAAGGAAAUCUUUACCAUGUGCACCUCAGGUAGAAAUCAAAAAACGUAAUAACUCGCCCAAAGGAAACCAAAUAACCCAAUCAAUAAAUUGUCAAAGAAAUGGGACUAGCACUUCACAGAAGAAAUAUGGUCAGUCAACAAACAUAUGAAGAAAUGUUCAACGUCUCUAGCAGUUAGAGAAAUGCAAAUCAAAACUUCUCUAAGAUUUCAUCUCACUCCUGUCAGAAGAGCGAUUAUCAAGAAAUAAUAAGUGUUGACGAGGAUGUGGGGGGAAAGGCACACUCAUACACUGCUGGUGGGGCUGCAAAAAGGUACAGCCAAUAUGGAAAACAGUAUGGAGAUUCCUUGGAAAACUUGGAAUGGAACCACCAUUUGACCCAGCUAUCCCACUCCUCAGUUUAUACCCAAAAGGACUUAACAACAUCCUACAGGGACACAGCCACAUCAAUGUUUAUAGCAGCACAAUUCACAGUAGCUAAAUUGUGGAACCAACCUAAAUGCCCUUCAAUAGAUGAAUGGAUAAAAAAAAAUGUGGCAUAAAUACACAAUGGAAUAUUAUUCAGCAAUAAAAGAGAAUAAAAUCAUGGCAUUUGCAGGUAAAUAAAUGGAUGGAGUUAGAGAAGAUAAUGCUAAGUGAUGUUAGCCAAUCCCAAAAACCAAAUGCUGAAUGUUUUCUCUGAUAGAAGGAGGCUGACUCAUAGUGGGGUUGGGAGUGG